GGACGAACGCUGGCGGCGUGCUUAACACAUGCAAGUCGAACGGAAUCCAUGGUGUAGCAAUACACCGGAAGAUUUAGUGGCGAACGGGUGAGGAUCACGUGAGAAACGUGCCCCAGACUCUGGGAUAACAAUUGGAAACGAUUGCUAAUACCGGAUGACGUCGGAGAAUCGCAUGAUUCACUGACGAAAGAUAUUUCGGUUUGGGAGCGUCUCGCGGCCUAUCAGCUUGUUGGUGGGGUAAUGGCCUACCAAGGCAACGACGGGUAGCUGGUCUGAGAGGAUGAUCAGCCACACUGGGACUGAGACACGGCCCAGACUCCUACGGGAGGCAGCAGUGGGGAAUCUUGCGCAAUGGGCGAAAGCCUGACGCAGCAACGCCGCGUGCGGGAUGAAGGCCUUCGGGCUGUAAACCGCUUUCAGCAGGAACGAAAAUGACGGUACCUGCAGAAGAAGGAGCGGCCAACUACGUGCCAGCAGCCGCGGUGACACGUAGGCUCCAAGCGUUGUCCGGAUUUAUUGGGCGUAAAGAGCUCGUAGGCGGUUGAGUAAGUCGGGUGUGAAAACUCUGGGCUUAACCCGGAGACGCCAUCCGAUACUGCUCUGACUAGAGUUCAGGAGGGGAGUGGGGAAUUCCUAGUGUAGCGGUGAAAUGCGCAGAUAUUAGGAGGAACACCGGUGGCGAAGGCGCCACUCUGGACUGAAACUGACGCUGAGGAGCGAAAGCAUGGGUAGCAAACAGGAUUAGAUACCCUGGUAGUCCAUGCCGUAAACGGUGGGCACUAGGUGUGGGUUCCAACUAACGGGAUCCGCGCCGUCGCUAACGCAUUAAGUGCCCCGCCUGGGGAGUACGUACGCAAGACUAAGACUCAAAGGAAUUGACGG
RNAcentral lists this ribosomal RNA (882 nucleotides) under uncultured Actinomycetes bacterium. RNAcentral describes it as "bacterial SSU rRNA". It matches the Rfam family "Bacterial small subunit ribosomal RNA", at positions 27 to 916 of the family's 1533-position model. The record is from RNAcentral. Lineage: Bacteria; Bacillati; Actinomycetota; Actinomycetes.